CGGUUAACGGAGCGAAAGCGACGUUCAACCGCAAAAGAAGCAGAGGGGGCUUAGUGGUGGGGUGACUGCGUACCUUUUGUAUAAUGGGUCAGCGACUUAUAUUCUGUAGCAAGGUUAACCGUAUAGGGGAGCCGGAGGGAAACCGAGUCUUAACCGGGCGUUAAGUUGCAGGGUAUAGACCCGAAACCCGGUGAUCUAGCCAUGGGCAGGUUGAAGGUUGGGUAACACUAACUGGAGGACCGAACCGACUAAUGUUGAAAAAUUAGCGGAUGACCUGUGGCUGGGGGUGAAAGGCCAAUCAAACCGGGAGAUAGCUGGUUCUCCCCGAAAGCUAUUUAGGUAGCGCCUCGUGAAUUCAUCUCCGGGGGUAGAGCACUGUUUCGGCUAGGGGGCCAUCCCGGCUUACCAACCCGAUGCAAACUGCGAAUACCGGAGAAUGUUAUCACGGGAGACACACGGCGGGUGCUAACGUCCGUCGUGAAGAGGGAAACAACCCAGACCGCCAGCUAAGGUCCCAAAGUCAUGGUUAAGUGGGAAACGAUGUGGGAAGGCCCAGACAGCCAGGAUGUUGGCUUAGAAGCAGCCAUCAUUUAAAGAAAGCGUAAUAGCUCACUGGUCGAGUCGGCCUGCGCGGAAGAUGUAACGGGGCUAAACCAUGCACCGAAGCUGCGGCAGCGACGCUUAUGCGUUGUUGGGUAGGGGAGCGUUCUGUAAGCCUGUGAAGGUGUGUCGUGAGGCAUGCUGGAGGUAUCAGAAGUGCGAAUGCUGACAUAAGUAACGAUAAAGCGGGUGAAAAGCCCGCUCGCCGGAAGACCAAGGGUUCCUGUCCAACGUUAAUCGGGGCAGGGUGAGUCGACCCCUAAGGCGAGGCCGAAAGGCGUAGUCGAUGGGAAACGGGUUAAUAUUCCCGUACUUGGUGUUACUGCGAAGGGGGGACGGAGAAGGCUAUGUUGGCCGGGCGACGGUUGUCCCGGUUUAAGCGUGUAGGUGUGUGUUCCAGGUAAAUCCGGUUCACUUUAACACUGAGGCGUGAUGACGAGGCA
Molecule: ribosomal RNA, 1043 nt
Filed under: Salmonella enterica subsp. enterica serovar Paratyphi B var. L(+) tartrate +
Lineage: Bacteria; Pseudomonadati; Pseudomonadota; Gammaproteobacteria; Enterobacterales; Enterobacteriaceae
Description: partial 23S ribosomal RNA
Rfam family: Bacterial large subunit ribosomal RNA
Source: RNAcentral